This 490-nucleotide ribosomal RNA is filed under the name uncultured bacterium. Its description in RNAcentral is "partial 16S ribosomal RNA". It matches the Rfam family "Bacterial small subunit ribosomal RNA", at positions 28 to 507 of the family's 1533-position model. The record is from RNAcentral.
GAUGAACGCUAGCUACAGGCUUAACACAUGCAAGUCGAGGGGCAGCAUGGUCUUAGCUUGCUAAGGCCGAUGGCGACCGGCGCACGGGUGAGUAACACGUAUCCAACCUGCCGUCUACUCUUGGACAGCCUUCUGAAAGGAAGAUUAAUACAAGAUGGCAUCAUGAGUCCGCAUGUUCACAUGAUUAAAGGUAUUCCGGUAGACGAUGGGGAUGCGUUCCAUUAGAUAGUAGGCGGGGUAACGGCCCACCUAGUCUUCGAUGGAUAGGGGUUCUGAGAGGAAGGUUCCCCACAUUGGAACUGAGACACGGUCCAAACUCCUACGGGAGGCAGCAGUGAGGAAUAUUGGUCAAUGGGCGCAGGCCUGAACCAGCCAAGUAGCGUGAAGGAUGACUGCCCUAUGGGUUGUAAACUUCUUUUAUAAAGGAAUAAAGUCGGGUAUGUAUACCCGUUUGCAUGUACUUUAUGAAUAAGGAUCGGCUAACUCCGUG